RNAcentral lists this unclassified non-coding RNA (200 nucleotides) under soil metagenome. RNAcentral describes it as "partial contains internal transcribed spacer 2 and large subunit ribosomal RNA". The record is from RNAcentral.
ACCAAUCAAGCCUCGCUUGGUAUUAGGCGUUCGCCCCCGUCACCGGCGGGCGUGCCUCAAACAUUUCGGCGGAGCACACCGGCUUUGGGCGUAGUAGAAUUUAUCAAAACGCUCGUGGGACGGUGGGACUUUUGCCGCGCAACGACACCUUUUAUUACCAGGUUGACCUCGGAUCAGGUAGGGAUACCCGCUGAACUUAA